UAAGGAAUAUUGGACAAUGGGCGCAAGCCUGAUCCAGCCAUGCCGCGUGCAGGAAGAAGCAUCUAUGGUGUGUAAACUGCUUUUGUACGGGAAGAAACACUCCUACGUGUAGGUGCUUGACGGUACCGUAGAAUAAGGAUCGGCUAACUCCGUGCCAGCAGCCGCGGUAAUACGGAGGAUCCAAGCGUUAUCCGGAAUCAUUGGGUUUAAAGGGUCCGUAGGCGGUUUAAUAAGUCAGUGGUGAAAGCCCAUCGCUCAACGAUGGAACGGCCAUUGAUACUGUUAGACUUGAAUUACAAGGAAGUAACAAGAAUAUGUGGUGUAGCGGUGAAAUGCUUAGAUAUUACAUGGAAUACCAAUUGCGAAGGCAGGUUACUACUUGUGGAUUGACGCUGAUGGACGAAAGCGUGGGGAGCGAACA
RNAcentral lists this ribosomal RNA (421 nucleotides) under uncultured bacterium. RNAcentral's name for it is "bacterial SSU rRNA". It matches the Rfam family "Bacterial small subunit ribosomal RNA", at positions 355 to 774 of the family's 1533-position model. The record is from RNAcentral.